AACCCGACCAAAUAAAAAACAACAGCAGAAGGUCACCAACAGGUCUUCAAUGUAGCGAGAAAUUCCCGCACCCGGAGGCGUCCUUCAGCUGGCCCCUAAACAAAUAUAUACUAGUUCAGUGAUAAUGAACGCCAUACUAAUUUCCAAAUUGUACACAAGAAACUAAUAUAAAAAUAAUACAAGACUAACAAAGGCCAGAGGCUCCUGACUUGGGACAGGCGCAAAAAUGCGGCGGGGUUAAACAUGUUUGUGAGAUCUCAACCCUCCCCCUAUACCUCUAACCAAUGUAGAAAAAUAAACGCAUAACAAUACGCACAUUAAAAUUCAGUUCAAGAGAAGUCCGAGUCUGAUGUCAGAAGAUGUAACCAAACAAAAUAAACAAAAUGACAAUAAUACAUAAAUAACAACAGACUACUAGCAGUUAACUGACAUGCCAGCUCCAGACUUCAAUUAAACUGACUGAAAGAUUAUGAUUUCAUCAUAUGAACAUCAGGCACAA
This 499-nucleotide long non-coding RNA is filed under the name Mytilus galloprovincialis (Mediterranean mussel). The record is from RNAcentral. Lineage: Eukaryota; Metazoa; Mollusca; Bivalvia; Mytilida; Mytilidae.